GUAGUAAUUUUUUUGUUUUUGUUUAUUACAGGUGUGUGGUUAAGUUCUAAAAUGAUAUUAGGUAUGACGGUUACAAUAAUAACGUAAUGUACACACCGUCACACGGCGCCGGGGCGUCGCGUUCCGGUAUAAUGAGUUAUAAUAAUAAUAAUAAUAAUAAUAAUAAUAAUACGUGAUAAUACAUUUUUUAAAUAUAUAUAUAUAUAUAUAUAAAUAUAAUGACGCGAAUAAUUAGUAUUAUUAUUAUAGAGCUGUUGUUGUUGUUGUUGUUUUUUAUAUAUAUAUAUAUAUAUAUAUACAUAAUUAAUACAUCAAUGACACGUAUAUGUAAUAAAUGUUAGUAACAAUAGUCGAAAAUUGGUCGUUGUACAUCAUUUUUUUUUUUUUUUUUUUUUUUUUUUAUUGAUCCGAUAAACAUUCCCAGUAUAUUUAUCAUAAUAAUAAUAAUUAAUAAUAAUAAUAAUUAAUAAUAAUAAUAAUAAUAAUAAUAUUAAUAGUAAUAAUAUUAAUAGUAAUACCGCGGAUACACAGUAUCGUCGUGUUCAGUAUAAUUUAGGUGGGUAUAAUAAUAAUCGUAAUAUAAAUAUUAUUAACGACAUUGCGGGUUCGUAGGUACAACAACGAUAUUAUUAGAAUAAUGACAGUAUAAUAUUGUAAUAGAACGCGGCUAUAUAUUGUAGCGUGGAUAAAAAUUUUUUUUUUUUUUUCAAAAAACGGGAAUAUUAAUUAAAAUAAUAUACGACAUUGUUAGGCGUAUUAUUUAUAAUGAUAUUAGUAUUGCCGGAUUGCGUAAACGACCAAUGGAACGUCGGGCCGUCGAACCGAUAGGACCGUCGUAAUCGGCCCGGCAAAACAACGAUUGCGGGUCGCCGACGAAACGGCAUUUGUCCAUUCGACAAUUAACGCAUUGGCGACCGGCCUUUUUUUUUCCGCGGGGGGGGGGGGGGGGGGGGGGUNNNNNNNNNNNNNNNNNNNNNNNNNAAUAAAAAAAAAAAAAAAAAAUUACAAUUUCCGGGCGGGCUAAGAAUUACAUUUUCACUUCCGGGUCAAUAGGAUAUUGCGUUUUAUUGCACGUACGAUACAAUAUAUAAGGUACAGCGAUAUAUUCAAUUAUUUGUUAUGCGCCGAUUGUUACGAACGAGAAAAAGACAAUAUGUGUACAAACAUACUGUUUUUUUUUUUUUUUUUUUUUUUUUUAAUGAGUGUUAAUUUUCGAAAUUUUAAGUUAUAUUUUUUUUUUCAAUUUCGAUUUAACACAUUAGCGAGCCGAUUAAUAAAUGGACCGCGGGCCACAUCCGGCCCGCAUGGUUGGUCACCACUGUCUUGGCGUAUCGAUAAUACGAAGGCCCCGUUUUCGUCCGAUAAUCAAUAUUGAAAAUAGUACCAUGACUUUAUUGAACUGUUAACAUAAUAUAUUUCGCUGUUUUUCACAAUUUUCUUGACGGUUCACUAUUAUCAAUAAAAUAAUUGAUAUAUUAUAUUAUAAUAAUGUACUAAUGUAUUUAAAUACAUUAGCGCCGUCAAUAAUAUCGGAUCAACUAAUUUUAAAAGCGACUCCGAUACCUACAUUUGUCCUCCUUUUCGCGUCUUUUUUUACUCAACUAUAAUUUUAUAACAUGGACAUUGACAACAGACACGGAGCGCGUGAUGAAACAAUUUCUUUUUAUAAUCGUCAUACAACUGAAUUAUCAUUGUAAAUUGUAAAGCCUUGACGGGACCAUAACCGCGGUAAAUAUUAGUUUAUGUUUAGGGUUUGUGUCUAGUAAAAAUUUAUGAAACGCCGCUGACCAUACUGGAUGUGAUAAAGUUGUUUAUCCAAUGGCUUAUCGAUACGAUAUCAUAGGUUAUAGCGUUGUUUUUAUGGAUCGUUUUUGCAACCCGGCGUAAUAUGUCUGGUGAAAUGUUUUGUUCUGACAACAAGAGAAAAAUAAAAUCGAAAAAACAAUAAUGAUAUCAAAUUAUUAUUCUCGUCUAGUAUUAUGGCGAUCGAAAGGCUAAGCGUACGUAAUAAAAUUAAUGUUAUAAUAAUAAAUAUUUAUGGACAGCGUUAGAAAUCGUUUAUGCGGCGCGGCUGCUCGACGCGAAUAAGAAAAAUAAGAAAAAAUAUAAACCUCUAAUAUAAUAUAGAUUGUCAAUAAUAUUGUUACCAUCAUAUAAUAAUAUACCUAAUAUAAUAUAGUACUAUGAUCAUAAGUCGAAACAAGUUCCCUGUCAAAAUAUCUCCUUAAAAACCUUAACAAUAAAUAAAACGUAUUUCUAGUACUGUUAAUAUUAUCGGAUUUGUAUUUAUUUAAUUUUAAAUAUACAUUUAUUAAAAAGAUAGCAGAAUAAAAAUUAAAACAUAUAUAUAUAUGUAUUAAAUUUGCAUAUUCCUCUUAGUUAUUUGCAUUUUUUGUUAGAUUUGCGCCAUCUGUUUUUCAUAAUAUUUCUUAAUGACGCGAUGCUAUUCUUCGGAAAAAAAAAAAAAAAAACUGCCCAUUAUUAAGUAAACAGAAGACAGUCCUGCCGAAAAUGCUCGGCGAUAUCGUAUGCCCACCUCCGAUCGUUCAACUCCUUCGCAUACCAUAUCGACAACGUUUCAAUUAAACCAAAGUCAACCACUUUGUCGUGACCUAGGAUUCACACUAUGUCUUUUAUGGCGCAUUAAAGAAGCUUUCUGCGAAUUUAUCAGUCAAAUUGUUUCUUGGUUUAAUUAACCGUGUCUCCCUUGAGUUUUGUUUCCCUACACGACUCAAAUCCCUCUACUGUGUUCCGAAGUUUUGGUAUACCACGUCCCAGAUGACGAUUUCGUAUUCUAAUGUUUAUUGUAUGGUAUACUCUUCCUUCUCGUGUAAUUAUAUGACCUAAGUACUGUUAAUCUGCGACUUUUUCUAUGUAUUUGUAAAUAUUGAAUUUCGGAAAAUAAAAUACAAACAACCGAGGGUUGAAACUUGUGCACAUCAUUAUUAUUUUUAGAUUGCUGUUCUGUGUUUAAACGUUUUUCGAAUCUUUACAAAAAAAAUCCUAUUUUUUUUAGGUUAAAUGAAAAAUAAAUAAACUAUUUCAAUAUUAAUACUAGUCACUAGACAUAUUUAUUUUAAAGACAUACGUGUCUACCUAUAUUUUCGUAAAGAAUAUAUUUUUUUAUUUUGCAGACAUUUUUAAUCAUUGUACAAGAGACAAUUUUUCAUAAAUAUACAUUCCCAGUGAGAUAUUUUGACCGGUCACCAUCCCGAAACAUCAACUAAAAUGUAUUUUAUUACGUAAAUAGUACACCGUUUGAAACCAAUAUUUUAUUCCGAUACGAUACAAUGUUAUUAUGUGUCUAUUAUAACCGUUAGCGCAGAUAAAUUCACACGUGGCUUGGUUUUGAAAUACACGUAAUCGGCUGAGUUAUCUGCAGAUAUUUCCCAGAAGUCCGAAACAUUUUUUAUCCGAUUGAAUGGUUGCUGUUGUUAAUAUUACGUUGCACGUCGGAAUAAAAUACUUAUAAUAAAACGUGUCUAAAAUGGAACUCUUAAGCAUAAUUAAUAGUUAUGAGAAUAGAUAAGCCACUUGCAUUCGCCGCCGUUGUAAUGGAAUGGGCAAGUGGGAUAGAUGGUUCUCUCUUACACGAUGUGGGUUUCGAGCCAACUACAGCAUAACGAUAAAUGAAAAACUGCAAUAUUGUACACGCAUUUUUAAGUUGGCCGCACAAUUAAUAGCAAAAUAAUCGUCUAAUCAUGUUUUAUGACUACGCUGUGCCAAAGACUUAAAAUAUAGGUACUAAAAAAAAAAAAAAAAAAAUGUAUAUUUAAUAAUAAA
RNAcentral lists this long non-coding RNA (3783 nucleotides) under Cinara cedri. Lineage: Eukaryota; Metazoa; Arthropoda; Insecta; Hemiptera; Aphididae. The record is from RNAcentral.